CCGAUGAUAGCUCAGUUGGAAGAGCAUCUGACUGUAAUCGCACUGUAAUCAGGAGGUCCCCGGUUCGAACCCGGGUCGUCGGA
Non-coding RNA from Obelidium mucronatum, 83 nucleotides. Lineage: Eukaryota; Fungi; Chytridiomycota; Chytridiomycetes; Chytridiales; Chytriomycetaceae. The record is from the annotation of a GenBank genome assembly.